AGGGCGGGCGGCUGCUUAACAUGCAAGUCGAACGGCAGCGGGGGUGCUUGCACCUGCCGGCGAGUGGCGAACGGGUGAGUAAUGCAUCGGAACGUACCCAGUAGUGGGGGAUAACUUACCGAAAGGUAAGCUAAUACCGCAUACGCACUGAGGUGGAAAGCAGGGGACCUUCGGGCCUUGUGCUAUUGGAGCGGCCGAUGUCGGAUUAGCUAGUUGGUGAGGUAAAGGCUCACCAAGGCGACGAUCCGUAGCUGGUCUGAGAGGAUGAUCAGCCACACUGGAACUGAGACACGGUCCAGACUCCUACGGGAGGCAGCAGUGGGGAAUUUUGGACAAUGGGCGCAAGCCUGAUCCAGCCAUGCCGCGUGAGUGAAGAAGGCCUUCGGGUUGUAAAGCUCUUUCGGCCGGGAAGAAAUCGGUGAGGCUAAUAUCCUCACUGGAUGACGGUACCGGAAUAAGAAGCACCGGCUAACUACGUGCCAGCAGCCGCGGUAAUACGUAGGGUGCGAGCGUUAAUCGGAAUUACUGGGCGUAAAGCGUGCGCAGGCGGUUUUGUAAGACAGGCGUGAAAUCCCCGGGCUCAACCUGGGAACUGCGCUUGUGACUGCAAGGCUAGAGUACGGCAGAGGGGGGUGGAAUUCCACGUGUAGCAGUGAAAUGCGUAGAGAUGUGGAGGAACACCGAUGGCGAAGGCAGCCCCCUGGGCCGAUACUGACGCUCAUGCACGAAAGCGUGGGGAGCAAACAGGAUUAGAUACCCUGGUAGUCCACGCCCUAAACGAUGUCAACUAGGUGUUGGGUGGGUAAAACCAUUUAGUACCGUAGCUAACGCGUGAAGUUGACCGCCUGGGGAGUACGGCCGCAAGGUUAAAACUCAAAGGAAUUGACGGGGACCCGCACAAGCGGUGGAUGAUGUGGAUUAAUUCGAUGCAACGCGAAAACCUUACCUACCCUUGACAUGUCCAGACCCUUGAGAGAUUGAGGGGUGCCCGAAGGGACUGGAACACCAGGUGCUGCAUGGCUGUCGUCAGCCUCG
RNAcentral lists this ribosomal RNA (1035 nucleotides) under uncultured bacterium. RNAcentral describes it as "bacterial SSU rRNA". It matches the Rfam family "Bacterial small subunit ribosomal RNA", at positions 32 to 1063 of the family's 1533-position model. The record is from RNAcentral.